RNAcentral lists this ribosomal RNA (244 nucleotides) under uncultured bacterium. RNAcentral's name for it is "partial small subunit ribosomal RNA". It matches the Rfam family "Bacterial small subunit ribosomal RNA", at positions 26 to 285 of the family's 1533-position model. The record is from RNAcentral.
AGAAUCAACGCUGGCGGCGUGCCUAACACAUGCAAGUCGAACGAGAAAGUGGAGCAAUCCAUGAGUAAAGUGGCGCACGGGUGAGUAACACGUGACUAACCUACCCUUGAGUGGGGGAUAACCUAGGGAAACCUGGGCUAAUACCGCAUAAUACCUUCGGGUCAAAGGAGCAAUUCGCUUAAGGAGGGGUCGCGGCCGAUUAGUUAGUUGGCGGGGUAAUGGCCCACCAAGACGAUGAUCUGUA